RNAcentral lists this long non-coding RNA (264 nucleotides) under Brassica napus (rape). RNAcentral describes it as "long non-coding RNA (BNAP_LNC018910)". Lineage: Eukaryota; Viridiplantae; Streptophyta; Magnoliopsida; Brassicales; Brassicaceae. The record is from RNAcentral.
AAACUAUAUAACCUCAUACCGUAUGACUUGCUAAUUUAAUCUCUACAGUUUGUUACAGCACAUAAUAGUUGAUAUUUGGGACUUUACUUUGGAUUGCCCCAGUAACUCAUAUGUUCAUUCUAUUUUAUCCCACCAAUUAAAAACAAUAUAAAUUUUAAUAUAUUUUAAUCAGAAACGUGGUGAAAAUCGAAAUUGCCCUUAAUGAAACCAAGUAUUUACAGGAUCCAACCUAAACUAUUUGACUCGACCCACUAUUAGCCGGAU